RNAcentral lists this ribosomal RNA (200 nucleotides) under uncultured Mesotoga sp. RNAcentral's name for it is "partial 16S ribosomal RNA". It matches the Rfam family "Bacterial small subunit ribosomal RNA", at positions 334 to 525 of the family's 1533-position model. The record is from RNAcentral. Lineage: Bacteria; Thermotogati; Thermotogota; Thermotogae; Kosmotogales; Kosmotogaceae.
UACUCCUACGGAGGCAGCAGUGCGGAAUUUUAGAUAAUGGAGGGAACUCUGAUCUAGCGACGCCGCGUGCAGGAAGAAGGUCUUCGGAUUGUAAACUGCUGUGGUAAGGGAAAAAUGCUAUGUAGAGUGGAAAGCUACAUAGAGGGAUGGUACCUUACUAGAAAGCCCCGGCUAACUACGUGCCAGCAGCCGCGGUAAUA